ACGCACCUUGCGCUCCCGGGAUAUGCCUGGGAGCAUGCCUGUCGGGGAGGAGGAGG
This 56-nucleotide ribosomal RNA is filed under the name Turbinaria ornata. RNAcentral's name for it is "partial 5.8S ribosomal RNA". Lineage: Eukaryota; Phaeophyceae; Fucales; Sargassaceae. The record is from RNAcentral.